RNAcentral lists this ribosomal RNA (253 nucleotides) under uncultured bacterium. RNAcentral's name for it is "partial 16S ribosomal RNA". It matches the Rfam family "Bacterial small subunit ribosomal RNA", at positions 524 to 776 of the family's 1533-position model. The record is from RNAcentral.
GACAGAGGUGCCAAGCGUUAGGCGGAACCACUGGGCGUAAAGGGUGCGUAGGCGGGCCUUUAAGUCAGGGGUGAAAUCCUGGAGCUCAACUCCAGAACUGCCUUUGAUACUGAGGAUCUUGAGUUCGGGAGAGGUGAGUGGAACUGCGAGUGUAGAGGUGAAAUUCGUAGAUAUUCGCAAGAACACCAGUGGCGAAGGCGGCUCACUGGCCCGAUACUGACGCUGAGGCACGAAAGCGUGGGGAGCAAACAGG